ACGGGUGAGUAACGCGUGGGAAUCUACCCAACUCUACGGAAUAACUCAGGGAAACUUGUGCUAAUACCGUAUACGCCCUUCGGGGGAAAGAUUUAUCGGAGUUGGAUGAGCCCGCGUUGGAUUAGCUAGUUGGUGGGGUAAAGGCCUACCAAGGCGACGAUCCAUAGCUGGUCUGAGAGGAUGAUCAGCCACAUUGGGACUGAGACACGGCCCAAACUCCUACGGGAGGCAGCAGUGGGGAAUAUUGGACAAUGGGCGCAAGCCUGAUCCAGCCAUGCCGCGUGUGUGAUGAAGGCCUUAGGGUUGUAAAGCACUUUCACCGGAGAAGAUAAUGACGGUAUCCGGAGAAGAAGCCCCGGCUAACUUCGUGCCAGCAGCCGCGGUAAUACGAAGGGGGCUAGCGUUGUUCGGAAUUACUGGGCGUAAAGCGCACGUAGGCGGAUCGAUCAGUCAGGGGUGAAAUCCCAGAGCUCAACUCUGGAACUGCCUUUGAUACUGUCGGUCUAGAGUAUGGAAGAGGUGAGUGGAAUUCCGAGUGUAGAGGUGAAAUUCGUAGA
This 557-nucleotide ribosomal RNA is filed under the name uncultured bacterium. RNAcentral's name for it is "bacterial SSU rRNA". It matches the Rfam family "Bacterial small subunit ribosomal RNA", at positions 102 to 694 of the family's 1533-position model. The record is from RNAcentral. RNAcentral also lists the same sequence under 1 other name.